GACGAACGCUGGCGGCGUGCUUAACACAUGCAAGUCGAACGGAAAGGCCCUGCUUUUGUGGGGUGCUCGAGUGGCGAACGGGUGAGUAACACGUGAGUAACCUGCCCUUGACUUUGGGAUAACUUCAGGAAACUGGGGCUAAUACCGGAUAGGAGCUCCUGCUGCAUGGUGGGGGUUGGAAAGUUUCGGCGGUUGGGGAUGGACUCGCGGCUUAUCAGCUUGUUGGUGGGGUAGCGGCUUACCAAGGCUUUGACGGGUAGCCGGCCUGAGAGGGUGACCGGCCACAUUGGGACUGAGAUACGGCCCAGACUCCUACGGGAGGCAGCAGUGGGGAAUAUUGCAAAAUGGGCGGAAGCCUGAUGCAGCAACGCCGCGUGCGGGAUGACGGCCUUCGGGUUGUAAACCGCUUUCGCCUGUGACGAAGCGUGAGUGACGGUAAUGGGUAAAGAAGCACCGGCUAACUACGUG
RNAcentral lists this ribosomal RNA (468 nucleotides) under uncultured bacterium. RNAcentral describes it as "partial 16S ribosomal RNA". It matches the Rfam family "Bacterial small subunit ribosomal RNA", at positions 28 to 507 of the family's 1533-position model. The record is from RNAcentral.